This 429-nucleotide ribosomal RNA is filed under the name Gemmatimonadota bacterium. Its description in RNAcentral is "Gemmatimonadetes bacterium partial 16S ribosomal RNA". It matches the Rfam family "Bacterial small subunit ribosomal RNA", at positions 355 to 776 of the family's 1533-position model. Lineage: Bacteria; Pseudomonadati; Gemmatimonadota. The record is from RNAcentral.
UAGGGAAUCUUCGGCAAUGGACGAAAGCCUGACCUAGCAACGCCGCGUGAGUGAAGAAGGUUUUCGGAUCGUAAAACUCUGUUGUUAGAGAAGAACAAGGACGUUAGUAACUGAACGUCCCCUGCCGGUAUCUAACCAGAAAGCCACGGCUAACUACGUGCCAGCAGCCGCGGUAAUACGUAGGUGGCAAGCGUUGUCCGGAUUUAUUGGGCGUAAAGCGAGCGCAGGCGGUUUCUUAAGUCUGAUGUGAAAGCCCCCGGCUCAACCGGGGAGGGUCAUUGGAAACUGGGAGACUUGAGGGCAGGAGAGGGGAGUGGAAUUCCAUGUGUAGCGGUGAAAUGCGUAGAUAUAUGGAGGAACACCAGUGGCGAAGGCGGCUCUCUGGUCUGUAACUGACGCUGAGGCUCGAAAGCGUGGGGAGCAAACAGG